GUUGAACCGCAUGGUUCUACAGUGAAAGACGGUCUUGCUGUCACUUAUAGAUGGACCCGCGCCGUAUUAGCUAGUUGGUGGGGUAACGGCCUACCAAGGCGACGAUACGUAGCCGACCUGAGAGGGUGAUCGGCCACACUGGAACUGAGACACGGUCCAGACUCCUACGGGAGGCAGCAGUAGGGAAUCUUCCGCAAUGGGCGAAAGCCUGACGGAGCAACGCCGCGUGAGUGAUGAAGGUCUUCGGAUCGUAAAGCUCUGUUGUUAGGGAAGAACAAAUGUGUAAGUAACUGUGCACAUCUUGACGGUACCUAACCAGAAAGCCACGGCUAACUACGUGCCAGCAGCCGCGGUAAUACGUAGGUGGCAAGCGUUAUCCGGAAUUAUUGGGCGUAAAGCGCGCGUAGGCGGUUUUUUAAGUCUGAUGUGAAAGCCCACGGCUCAACCGUGGAGGGUCAUUGGAAACUGGAAAACUUGAGUGCAGAAGAGGAAAGUGGAAUUCCAUGUGUAGCGGUGAAAUGCGCAGAGAUAUGGAGGAACACCAGUGGCGAAGGCGGCUUUCUGGUCUGCAACUGACGCUGAUGUGCGAAAGCGUGGGGAUCAAACAGGAUUAGAUACCCUGGUAGUCCACGCCGUAAACGAUGAGUGCUAAGUGUUAGGGGGUUUCCGCCCCUUAGUGCUGCAGCUAACGCAUUAAGCACUCCGCCUGGGGAGUACGGUCGCAAGACUGAAACUCAAAGGAAUUGACGGGGACCCGCACAAGCGGUGGAGCAUGUGGUUUAAUUCGAAGCAACGCGAAGAACCUUACCAAAUCUUGACAUCCUUUGACCGCUCUAGAGAUAGAGUUUUCCUCUUCGGAGGACAAAGUGACAGGUGGUGCAUGGUUGUCGUCAGCUCGUGUCGUGAGAUGUUGGGUUAAGUCCCGCAACGAGCGCAACCCUUGAACUUAGUUGCCAUCAUUCAGUUGGGCACUCUAAGUUGACUGCCGGUGACAAACCGGAGGAAGGUGGGGAUGACGUCAAAUCAUCAUGCCCCUUAUGAUUUGGGCUACACACGUGCUACAAUGGACAAUACAAAGGGCAGCGAAACCGCGAGGUCAAGCAAAUCCCAUAAAGUUGUUCUCAGUUCGGAUUGUAGUCUGCAACUCGACUACAUGAAGCUGGAAUCGCUAGUAAUCGUAGAUCAGCAUGCUACGGUGAAUACGUUCCCGGGUCUUGUACACACCGCCCGUCACACCACGAGAGUUUGUAACACCCGAAGCCGGUGGAGUAACCAUUUUGGAGCUAGCCGUCGAAGGUGGGACAAAUGAUUGGGGUGAAGUCGUAACAAGGUAGCCGUAUCGGAAGGUGCGGCUGGAUCACCUCCUUUCUA
This 1371-nucleotide ribosomal RNA is filed under the name Staphylococcus pseudintermedius. RNAcentral describes it as "bacterial SSU rRNA". It matches the Rfam family "Bacterial small subunit ribosomal RNA", at positions 180 to 1533 of the family's 1533-position model. Lineage: Bacteria; Bacillati; Bacillota; Bacilli; Caryophanales; Staphylococcaceae. The record is from RNAcentral.